This 107-nucleotide ribosomal RNA is filed under the name uncultured bacterium. RNAcentral's name for it is "partial 16S ribosomal RNA". The record is from RNAcentral.
CCCGGGUCCCGUUGUUACACACCGCCCCGUCCAAGCCAUGGAAGCUGAGGGCAUCUAAAGUCGGUAGCCGCAAGGCGCUGCCUAGGGUGAAAUCGGUAACUGGGGCU